Molecule: long non-coding RNA, 2917 nt
Filed under: Homo sapiens (human)
Lineage: Eukaryota; Metazoa; Chordata; Mammalia; Primates; Hominidae
Description: HSALNT0058801
Source: RNAcentral
CAUGCCUGUAGUCCCAGCUACUCAGGGAUGCUGAAGCAGGAGCAUCACUUGAACCCAAGAGGCAGAGGUUGCAGUGAGCCGAGAUAGUGCCAAUGCAUUCCAGCCUGGGGAACAGAGUGAGGCUGCAUGUCAAGAAAAGACAAGACAAGACAAGAAAAGAAAAGAAAAUCUUAUUCUAGAUUCUUGGAUCAUUGUAAACUAAUCACAAACCAUUAGCCAAGACCCACAUACAAUUAUUGUGCUCAUGUCAAAAAAAAUCAUUCUAUUUCUUUGCCUUAGUUUUCCCACCUUCAAAAUGCUCUUGGCUGUCUGGCUGUCUGUAACUUAAGCCUGCUUGCAACCAGUAAGGUUUUAGGUGUAUAGGUGUGUCUCAGAACCAAGAGUAUCUCUGAUUUUUGUUUGAUUUGAUUUUUCUAGAUAUUCAAGAGAUUGAGAUAGGAUCUAGAAUAUCAAAUUAUUGAUUUAUAAUGGAUCAUCAGUGGCCCAAAAGCUCAUGUUCGUCUUUCAAGAUUCCACCUUCCUGGUAAUAGUGGGCCUGGUGGCUGGUAGUCAAAUGACUCUUUGGUGACUGUGAAUCAGAGUAAAGUGAGGUAUGCACUCUCUCAGAUCAAGUAAUAAUAACAAAGUAUGAUAAUAAUCACUAACACUCUUAGAUGUUUACUAUUUGCCAGGUCCUGGGCUGAACACGGUGCAUAAACUCAUUUAAUAUCUAAACUAGUGAUAUUUCCAUCUUACUAAAGAAGAAGCUGAGCCUUCUAGCCAGUGAGUCACUUGUUGAAAGUCACAUGGCACAGGUUGAGCUGUGAUUGAGGCCCACACAGUAGUGAGCAUUAUAAUACCCAGGCCUAUAGUCCUUUGGCUGAUUGGGGCCAGAUGUAGUUCAGAUUUCUGAAUUUUUAAGAUUUGAGAGAAGUAAACAGUUCAUAUACUGUACAUUAAAACACCCCUAGUGGGUACUCUACCUUUUAACGUUCCUACUAGGAAUAUGGGCAGCCUCUCAUGAUUAAACACAUUAAUUAAUAUAUCUGUCAUAAAAGAUAAAAAUACUCACAUUAAGAUAAUAAAGACUAUGUCCUCAUAUUGCAGGUAAACGUUGUUGCCAAAUAGGUCUCAAAAGAGUUUCCAUUUUCAAAGUUUUUUGAGUUUUAGAACUUCACAUAAAGGAUUCCGGACCUGCACUGUUCACUAGGUUUAGUAUCUCUCCCUUCCCGGGGUAGUGCCGACAAUACUGCUGAUUCUUACUCUUACUUUAGGUUUGAUGAGCCAAGCUUCCAGCUCCAGGUUUUCUUGAGUCAGGGUAAAAUACAUUUGGCCUCUAGGGGGAGCUCCAGGCCUCCAGUUUCACUCCACUUCACCACUUCCCCAGACCCCAAUCUACACCCUGGAAAGCAAAGCGCUCCAACCCCAAAGAGGAGCUGUACAACUGGACAUGUCAAGAAGUACUUACAUUGAGCCACCAUACAAAGGCUGUGGUCUCUUUUUCCCAGCAUUUUCUUCUCUGGGAGUGUGUCUUCCCUCUGCACACGUGGUACAGUAGAUGACCAGGAGCUGCUCCUGGCCGUGGCUCAUCCCUCCCUGAGAGAGCAAUGGGAUGGGCAACGUCUACAGAACAGUGUCCCACAGCGCUUAAGAAUAUGCAGGCCGGUCCUCCCUUUCCUUGGCAGGCUUUCCUACCGCCCUUCCUUGCCAUCAGUGUGGUACAAUAGAAAAGUUAGAAGGGCGGUGGCUCACGCCUAUAAUCCCAGCACUUUGGGAGGCUGGGGCGGGCGGAUCACGAGGUCAAGAGAUCGGGGCCAUCCUGGCCAGCAUGCUCAAACCCCAUCUCUACUAAAAAUACAAAAAUUAGCUGUGCGUGGUGGCGGGCGCCUGUGGUCCCAGGUACUCAGGAGGCUGGGGCAGGAGAGUCUCUUGAACCUGGGAGGCGUAGGUUGCAGUGAGCCGAGAUCAGGCCACUGCACUCCAGCCUGGCGACAGAACGAGACUCCGUCUUUAAAAAAAAAAAAAAAACGGAAUUUUUUUUUUUUUAAUGACCUUCCUUAAAGGCAGCAGAGGGAGGUCUCCGUGUCCCAAGCCUCUGCACAGGGUCCCUCAUUGAAACUUGGAAUAAAAGUUCACCGAAGCCAAUGAACAUUUUCUGGUUUUCUGCUAAAUGUCUGUUUUCUCACAUGAGAAAAGUCGCCGUAGAGAGACUGUUCCCUAGAUUCCCGGAAAAACACCGUUCCAUUCCCAUUUAGAAACAACUUAUAAAUACAGUUGUCUAUGUGUGGGCUUUGUUUUGGUUGCAUUUCAAACCUGCUUUCUCUCAUUUACACCUUCAAUUAAGUGCUUUUAUACUUUCUCAGGUUCCCAGUUACGGGAAUUCUCUUGGUUGUGUCUAGAGCUGGCUCAUUGCAUUCAUUAUGUGUUAUAUUUCACCAUUUUAGCUUUCAGAGAUAACUGUGUACCCAGGGUUGGUAUUCAAAACUCUGAGCAACUGAAAAGCCACAGGCACCAACCAAUCAGAACAGAUGCUAGCUAUAAGCAACCAACGCAGCUGUGCCGUGCCAUGCACACAGAUGGAGCCUCAGCCUGGCUGAUGUGAUCUAUAAUGUUUACACUUGGAGUCCAGAGCUGCCCUGUUAAGAAGCUCAACUACCCUGAGGUCACCAUGAUGUCAGGAAGCCAAACUCGAUGGAAAGGCCAUUAAGUGGGUACUGCACUUGACAGCCCAGUGUCAUUCCCAGCAAACAGUCAACACCAACAGUGGGAGAGUUGUCUUGAAUGUCUACACCAGUCUAAUCUUCAGAGGACAGCAGCUCCGUGACAUCUGACUCCAACUGCUUGAGAGAUCUUAUGCCAGAAAUACCCAGCCAAGCUCUUCCCACAUUCCUAGCCCCAAAGAAUUAUUAGCAAAAUAAAACAGUUGUUUUAAAAUGGU